Molecule: transfer RNA, 62 nt
Filed under: Timarete posteria
Lineage: Eukaryota; Metazoa; Annelida; Polychaeta; Terebellida; Cirratulidae
Description: tRNA-Ser
Source: RNAcentral
AAGCCAGCGCAAGUAAGACCGACUUCUAAUCGGACUUAGGUUAUUAAUUUUACCCUGGCUUU